UACAGAGGUCCCAAGCGUUGUUCGGAUUCACUGGGCGUAAAGGGUGCGUAGGCGGUCGGGUAAGUUUGAUGUGAAAUCUCUGGGCUUAACCCAGAGAUGGCAUUGAAUACUAUUCGGCUAGAGAGUCGGAGGGGGGACUGGAAUACUUGGUGUAGCAGUGAAAUGCGUAGAUAUCCGGAGGAAUACCAGUGGCGAAGGCGGCACGCUGGGCCAUAACUGACGCUAAGACGCGAAAGCAUGGGUAGCGAACGGG
RNAcentral lists this ribosomal RNA (253 nucleotides) under uncultured bacterium. Its description in RNAcentral is "partial 16S ribosomal RNA". It matches the Rfam family "Bacterial small subunit ribosomal RNA", at positions 524 to 776 of the family's 1533-position model. The record is from RNAcentral.